This 426-nucleotide ribosomal RNA is filed under the name uncultured bacterium. Its description in RNAcentral is "partial 16S ribosomal RNA". It matches the Rfam family "Bacterial small subunit ribosomal RNA", at positions 354 to 796 of the family's 1533-position model. The record is from RNAcentral.
GUGAGGAAUAUUCCGCAAUGGGGGAAACCCUGACGGAGCAAUGCCGCGUGCAGGAUGAAGGCCCUCGGGUCGUAAACUGCUUUUAUAUGAGAAGAAUAUGACGGUAACAUAUGAAUAAGGGACGGCUAACUACGUGCCAGCAGCCGCGGUCAUACGUAGGUCCCAAGCGUUAUCCGGAGUGACUGGGCGUAAAGAGUUGCGUAGGCGGCUCGUUAAGCGUGAAAUGAAAUUUAUCGGCUCAACCGGUAAACUAUUUCGCGAACUGACGGGCUCGAGAGUAUGAGAGGUUACUGGAAUUUCUAGUGUAGCAGUGAAAUGCGUAGAUAUUAGAAAGAACACCAACGGCGUAGGCAGGUAACUGGCAUACAUCUGACGCUGAGGCACGAAAGCGUGGGGAGCGAACCGGAUUAGAUACCCGUGUAGUCC